CGAACGCUGGCGGCGUGCGUAACACAUGCAAGUCGACCGGAAAGGCCCCUUUGGGGGUACUCGAGUGGCGAACGGGUGAGUAACACGUGAGUAACCUGCCCUUGACUUCGGGAUAACUUCAGGAAACUGGGGCUAAUACCGGAUAGGAAUCCUUGCUGCAUGGUGGGGGUUGGAAAGCUUCGGCGGUUUUGGAUGGACUCGCGGCUUAUCAGCUUGUUGGUGGGGUAGUGGCUUACCAAGGCUUUGACGGGUAGCCGGCCUGGGGGGGCGACCGGCCACAUUGGGACUGGGAUACGGCCCAGACUCCUACGGGAGGCAGCAGUGGGGAAUAUUGCCCAAUGGGCGGAAGCCUGAUGCAGCAACGCCGCGUGCGGGAUGACGGCCUUCGGGUUGUAAACCGCUUUCAGCAGGGGCGAAGCUUGUGGUGACGGUACCUGCAGAAGAAGCACCGGCUAACUACGUG
RNAcentral lists this ribosomal RNA (463 nucleotides) under uncultured bacterium. Its description in RNAcentral is "partial 16S ribosomal RNA". It matches the Rfam family "Bacterial small subunit ribosomal RNA", at positions 30 to 507 of the family's 1533-position model. The record is from RNAcentral.